Molecule: ribosomal RNA, 509 nt
Filed under: Sulfitobacter sp.
Lineage: Bacteria; Pseudomonadati; Pseudomonadota; Alphaproteobacteria; Rhodobacterales; Roseobacteraceae
Description: bacterial SSU rRNA
Rfam family: Bacterial small subunit ribosomal RNA
Source: RNAcentral
AGCCUGAUCUAGCCAUGCCGCGUGUGUGAUGAAGGUCUUAGGAUCGUAAAGCACUUUCGCCAGGGAUGAUAAUGACAGUACCUGGUAAAGAAACCCCGGCUAACUCCGUGCCAGCAGCCGCGGUAAUACGGAGGGGGUUAGCGUUGUUCGGAAUUACUGGGCGUAAAGCGUACGUAGGCGGAUUGGAAAGUUGGGGGUGAAAUCCCAGGGCUCAACCCUGGAACUGCCUCCAAAACUAUCAGUCUAGAGUUCGAGAGAGGUGAGUGGAAUUCCAAGUGUAGAGGUGAAAUUCGUAGAUAUUUGGAGGAACACCAGUGGCGAAGGCGGCUCACUGGCUCGAUACUGACGCUGAGGUACGAAAGUGUGGGGAGCAAACAGGAUUAGAUACCCUGGUAGUCCACACCGUAAACGAUGAAUGCCAGUCGUCGGGCAGUAUACUGUUCGGUGACACACCUAACGGAUUAAGCAUUCCGCCUGGGGAGUACGGUCGCAAGAUUAAAACUCAAAUG